This 348-nucleotide unclassified non-coding RNA is filed under the name soil metagenome. RNAcentral describes it as "partial contains 5.8S ribosomal RNA, internal transcribed spacer 2, and large subunit ribosomal RNA". The stretch from base 1 to 120 matches the Rfam family "5.8S ribosomal RNA", at positions 35 to 154 of the family's 154-position model. The record is from RNAcentral.
GAUGAAGAACGUAGCAAAAUGCGAUAAGUAAUGUGAAUUGCAGAAUUCAGUGAAUCAUCGGAUCUUUGAACGCACAUUGCGCCCGCUGGUAUUCCGGCGGGCAUGCCUGUUCGAGCGUCAUUUCAACCCUCAAGCCCCCGGGUUUGGUGUUGGGGAUCGGCUCUGCCCUUCUGGGCGGUGCCGCCCCCGAAAUACAUUGGCGGUCUCGCUGCAGCCUCCAUUGCGUAGUAGCUAACACCUCGCAACUGGAACGCGGCGCGGCCAUGCCGUAAAACCCCAACUUCUGAAUGUUGACCUCGGAUCAGGUAGGAAUACCCGCUGAACUUAAGCAUAUCAAUAAGCGGAGGA